AAAAUUGAAUUCUUCAAACCUUGCAUGCUAUAAUUGCGUUUACUGCUUAAGAAUUGCUGUUAUUUGGGUUUACUGCUUCAGAUUUACUUUGAUCUUUUCUUUGUUUUUACUUUUGUUUACCUUUUAUUUUAUAAUUAUGGUGUCUGUACUAUAUCCUAUCAACCCAAAAGUUAGCUUAUGAGGUGAGGAUUGCAAGCCAUAUAAGGAGACCAAGGACCUCAAAUCUCUGGAGCGUGGAUCGGUAACAAUAGUUGGGAUGAGCAUGGCUCUGAUACUAUGAUAAGAAUGGAUCUUGGGCCUAACUCAACCCCAAAAAUUAGCUUAUGAGGUGAGGAUUGCCCAAGCCAUAUAAGGAGACCAAGGACCUCAAAUCCCUUCGACGUGGGACAACUCAACAAAA
Molecule: long non-coding RNA, 400 nt
Filed under: Nicotiana benthamiana
Lineage: Eukaryota; Viridiplantae; Streptophyta; Magnoliopsida; Solanales; Solanaceae
Description: long non-coding RNA (NBEN_LNC037822)
Source: RNAcentral